This 579-nucleotide small RNA is filed under the name Pan troglodytes (chimpanzee). Its description in RNAcentral is "processed transcript". Lineage: Eukaryota; Metazoa; Chordata; Mammalia; Primates; Hominidae. The record is from RNAcentral.
AGAUGAAGGCGGCCCCAGAUGAAGGCAACAGUACUAGGUUGCAGGACUUGCUAAGCCGGUAGGUGGCCUGGGGUGUUAAGAGAUGGGAAGAGAGGCUGAUCCCUGUCCCCCACAGCACUGGAGGACUCCCGGCCCCAGGAAGGGGCAAAUGGUGAGGCCGAGUCAGGUGAGCUCAGCCGGCUUCGGGCUGAGCUGGCAGGCGCCCUGGCAGAAAUGGAAACCAUGAAGGCUGUGGCAGAGGUGAGCGAGAGCACGAAGGCCGAGGCUGUGGCUGCGGUGCAGCGGCAGUGCCAAGAGGAGGUGGCCUCGCUGCAGGCCAUCCUGAAAGACUCCAUCAGCAGCUAUGAAGCCCAGAUCACCGCCCUGAAGCAGGAGCGACAGCAGCAGCAGCAGGACUGUGAGGAGAAGGAGCGGGAGCUGGGCCGCCUGAAGCAGCUGCUGUCCCGGGCCUACCCCCUGGACUCCCUGGAGAAGCAGAUGGAAAAGGAAACAGGCUCAGGGAUGGUGUCAGUUACCUAGUUAGAAAGAAAGAUGAAGACAGGAGCCCAUGAAACAAAGACCUUCAAGCCACAUCUUCCC